RNAcentral lists this ribosomal RNA (381 nucleotides) under uncultured eukaryote. RNAcentral describes it as "partial 18S ribosomal RNA". It matches the Rfam family "Eukaryotic small subunit ribosomal RNA", at positions 592 to 976 of the family's 1831-position model. The record is from RNAcentral.
CAAUAGCGUAUAUUAAAGUUGUUGCGGUAAAAAAGCUCGUAGUUGGACUUCUACCGAAGAUAGCCGGUCGGGUCUUCGACCUUGUAUCUGGUUUUGUCUUUGGUAUCCUCAUAGGGAACGUUUCUGCGCUUUAUUGCGUGGUGCGGUAUCUAUGACUUUUACUUUGAGGAAAUUAGAGUGUUCACGGCAGGCAAACGCCUUGAAUAUAUUAGCAUGGAAUAAUAACAUAGGAUCUUCGUCCUAUUUUGUUGGUUUCUAGGGCUAAGAUAAUGAUUAAUAGGGAUAAUUGGGGGCAUCUGUAUCAACGCGUCAGAGGUGGAAUUCUUGGAUUGCGUUGCGACAAACUACUGCGAAAGCAUUUGCCAAGGAUGUUUUCAUUGA